GCAUAUCAAUAAGCGGAGGAAAAGAAACCAACAGGGAUUGCCCUAGUAACGGCGAGUGAAGCGGCAAGAGCUCAAAUUUGAAAUCUGGCCCCUCCGGGGUCCGAGUUGUAAUUUGCAGAGGAUGCUUCGGGUGCGGUCCCCGUCUAAGUACCCUGGAAUGGGUCGUCAUAGAGGGUGAGAAUCCCGUCUGGGACGGGUGGCCGUGUCCGUGUGAAGCUCCUUCGACGAGUCGAGUUGUUUGGGAAUGCAGCUCUAAAUGGGUGGUAAAUUUCAUCUAAAGCUAAAUAUUGGCCGGAGACCGAUAGCGCACAAGUAGAGUGAUCGAAAGAUGAAAAGCACUUUGAAAAGAGAGUUAAACAGCACGUGAAAUUGUUGAAAGGGAAGCGCUUGCGACCAGACUCGCCCGCGGGGGUUCAGCCGGUACUCGUACCGGUGUACUCCCUCGGGGGCGGGCCAGCGUCGGUUUGGGCGGCCGGUCAAAGGCCUCCGGAAUGUAUCGCCCUUCGGGGCGUCUUAUAGCCGGGGGUGCAAUGCGGCCAGCCUGGACCGAGGAACGCGCUUCGGCUCGGACGCUGGCGUAAUGGUCGUAAGCGGCCCGUCUUGAAACACGGACC
RNAcentral lists this ribosomal RNA (614 nucleotides) under Paecilomyces sp. JCM 28182. Its description in RNAcentral is "eukaryotic LSU rRNA". It matches the Rfam family "Eukaryotic large subunit ribosomal RNA", at positions 38 to 667 of the family's 3401-position model. The record is from RNAcentral. Lineage: Eukaryota; Fungi; Ascomycota; Eurotiomycetes; Eurotiales; Thermoascaceae.